RNAcentral lists this ribosomal RNA (436 nucleotides) under uncultured bacterium. RNAcentral's name for it is "bacterial SSU rRNA". It matches the Rfam family "Bacterial small subunit ribosomal RNA", at positions 28 to 424 of the family's 1533-position model. The record is from RNAcentral.
GAUGAACGCUGGCGGCGUGCCUAAUACAUGCAAGUCGAACGCAUUGUGGUUGAAAUGAUAUGAAGAACUUGUUCAGAUUUGAUUUUCAACAUUGCAAUGAGUGGCGAACGGGUGAGUAACACGUGGGAAACCUACCUCUUAGCAGGGGAUAACAUUUGGAAACAAAUGCUAAUACCGUAUAAUAAUUAAAACCGCAUGGUUUUAGUUUAAAAGAUGGUCUUGCUAUCACUAAGAGAUGGUCCCGCGGUGUAUUAGUUAGUUGGGUGAGGGUAAUGGCUCACCAAGACAAUGAUACAUAGCCGAGUUGAGAGACUGACCGGCCACAAUGGGACUGAGACACGGCCCAUACUCCUACGGGAGGCAGCAGUAGGGAAUCUUCCACAAUGGACGAAAGUCUGAUGGAGCAACGCCGCGUGUGUGAUGAAGGUUUCGGCUC